This 495-nucleotide ribosomal RNA is filed under the name uncultured bacterium. RNAcentral's name for it is "partial 16S ribosomal RNA". It matches the Rfam family "Bacterial small subunit ribosomal RNA", at positions 28 to 507 of the family's 1533-position model. The record is from RNAcentral.
GACGAACGCUGGCGGCGGGCCUAAUACAUGCAAGUAGAACGCUGAAGGAGGAGCUUGCUUCUCUGGAUGAGUUGCGAACGGGUGAGUAACGCGUAGGUAACCUGCCUGGUAGCGGGGGAUAACUAUUGGAAACGAUAGCUAAUACCGCAUAAUAGUAGAUGUUGCAUGACAUUUGCGUAAAAGUUGCACUUGCAUCACUACCAGAUGGACCUGCGGUGUAUUAGCUAGUUGGUGGGGUAACGGCUCACCAAGGCGGCGAUACAUAGCCGACCUGAGAGGGUGAUCGGCCACACUGGGGCUGAGACACGGCCCAGACUCCUACGGGAGGCAGCAGUAGGGAAACUUCGGCAAUGGACGGAAGUCUGACCGAGGAAAGCCGCGUGAGUGAAGAAGGUUUUCGGAUCGUAAAGCUCUGUUGUAAGAGAAGAAAGAGUGUGAGAGUGGAAAGUUCACACUGUGACGGUAUCUUAACAGAAAGGGACGGCUAACUACGUG